RNAcentral lists this non-coding RNA (24 nucleotides) under Arabidopsis thaliana (thale cress). The record is from RNAcentral. Lineage: Eukaryota; Viridiplantae; Streptophyta; Magnoliopsida; Brassicales; Brassicaceae.
UGAAAGUGUUACUCCCUCCGUCUC